Long non-coding RNA from Bolinopsis microptera, 1469 nucleotides. RefSeq lists it as uncharacterized. The transcript has 3 exons. NCBI's taxonomy places the organism in Eukaryota, Metazoa, Ctenophora, Tentaculata, Lobata, Bolinopsidae. The record is from RefSeq and is a predicted model, not a curated record.
CAGCAUGGCAUAGAAACUCAAAUUUGUCUUCAUUACAUAUUACAUAAGUCACAUAGGUCAGGUAUUUCGGUUGUUUUCAAUGGCCUUCAAACUUCAGCUUUUCGGAUGAAAUAAGACCCUUCAUAAUUGGAUUUCUCAGAAGUUUAUUUAAAUACUACUUAUACUGUUGUUAUAUAUUACUGUUGCUAUAUAUAUAUUAAGUAAGUUUUUCACCAGGAUAUAUUCAUAAAAACACUGUCUAACAUUUACUCCAUCAAAGGUAUUUGUAUGCACAAACUACGAUCCUGAUGGAGUCGAAAGCUACGAAAGUAGAGUGACAGAUCUCUUUACUCGAUAACUGUCCUUAUCCUUCACCAUGCUGGGUUCCUGGCCUUGCUUCAUCUAAAUACACAGCUGGUCAUAACCCUAAACCCUAUUUCAAAUGCUUUGUGAUCAACUGAGGAGCAGUGGAAGACAUAUUCAAUGGUUUCCAGAUUUAUUGAGACCAACAUAAUAGAUGACAUGCACACUAUAGUUCGGUAUUGCACACAGAGCAUUUAAUUGCUAAAUUCUAGUGCUGCCUUAUUGAUUUGAAAUGAAAAAUGACUGAAAGACGAAAAAGACUGGCGCUCAGGACUGCCAUGAUAUAAACAACUGCACUGCAAAGAUUGAAUACCAGAUGCCUUAGGAAUGUGGAGUCGAACUGACCGUAACGACAUCGAGGAAGUUAUUAACAGCAUCAAAUCUGGGGAUGUCGAAGUUGACAAAACAGUUGAAAUGUUGAAUACUAUAGCUAUCUUAUUCAGCACUACCGAGAGGGUAUGGUAUUGCACCUCAGUUCAGGAUGCCAGACAAUAUUGUAUGCCGAUAAAAAAUGCUGCCAAUGAACACUAGACGAUUGUAUAACUUAUUCGUACAUCUGCAUAUUUAAUACCACAAACUUAUCGAUAAAUUGGCUAUCGGCUGUACUUCGAAUAAUCAGUUAAGAAGAAUUUCCAAUUUAAAUAUUAUGAUAUAUUAUUACAGAGAUAAUUUUGGACACGUAAGUUAAAGUUAAAGUUUGUUUCAAAUCGUGAAAUCUGUUUUGAUGAUAGAUUAUAUUUACAUAGCAUAUGUUUGAGAUAAAUUGGGGUCUUAGAGUAAUAUUAUGUAUCGUUAAUUGAUACUUCGAACUUUUGGAUAUCGAGCCUUUUUUUAGGAUUACAUGAUUUAUUGAUUAAGCUGUAUUUAAGGUUUUAGUUUUUCGAAACGUUUUGAAUUCAAUCUCGUGCUGGCUGCGUUUUCAUGCUGGUCGAAUAAAACUAAAGAGUAUUCUUAGCAGAACAGUAAGAUUUCUAAUCAUUAGACUUUGGGUUAAAAAGUUAAAAGGUACAAAAUACGAAUGUUAUAAUGGCCCGAUAAUUCGGAUUGAAAUUUUGUUUAUGAGCAUGUAACUUUUGAUACACAAAUCUUAUAUAUUAUAACCUGAUCAAAGAAAUUAUUGACAAAAA